UACGUAGGUGGCGAGCGUUAUCCGGAAUGAUUGGGCGUAAAGGGUGCGUAGGCGGCCUGCUAAGUCUGGAGUGAAAGGUACCGGCUCAACCGGUACAGGCUCUGGAAACUGGCGGGCUAGAGAGCAGGAGAGGGCGGUGGAACUCCAUGUGUAGCGGUAAAAUGCGUAGAUAUAUGGAAGAACACCAGUGGCGAAGGCGGCCGCCUGGCCUGUUACUGACGCUGAGGCACGAAAGCGUGGGGAGCAAAUAGGG
RNAcentral lists this ribosomal RNA (253 nucleotides) under uncultured bacterium. RNAcentral describes it as "partial 16S ribosomal RNA". It matches the Rfam family "Bacterial small subunit ribosomal RNA", at positions 524 to 777 of the family's 1533-position model. The record is from RNAcentral.